Molecule: long non-coding RNA, 858 nt
Filed under: Nicotiana tabacum (common tobacco)
Lineage: Eukaryota; Viridiplantae; Streptophyta; Magnoliopsida; Solanales; Solanaceae
Description: long non-coding RNA (NTAB_LNC009118)
Source: RNAcentral
UUUUGAGAACUAUACAGUAUGCAACUUUAGCUUUCAAAGCCCCCGAGCUAACUUGAAGUAAUGACAUGGGAAUUUAAACCUCAACUAAAUCUCAUAUUAACAGAACCUGUAGGAUUGACAUUAAACAACCAUGAUUUUAACAUAUCAGCCUAACCACAUAACAGUCAAACAACAACAAAUAAUUCAACAAUGGCCAAGAUGUUACUGCAAAUACAACCCUGAACAUUUCUUUCACUUAUAGCCACUUUCAAACAAAACUGAUAACUUAAACAGAAGAAUCUAAACGUUUAAAGCUUCAGUCUCAUGCUAUGACAUAUUUUCAUGAUCAAUGUACUAAUCAAAAUAUUUCUAGGGCUAAAUAUUACGGCUAUACAUGAGAUUGAAGGGAGAAGAAAUAAGGUUAAACAACAAAUAACAUCAGCUUUUCAUAUUUCCAAGUCCCAACUUUAUAUUACAAUUAGGUGAAGUCCAUGGUUCCAAAAUAUACCUGGAAAAUGCCAAAGAAAAGCCAAGAGUGUGAGAGAGCAGCAAACAGCAGUGACCCAGCAAGAGGAAACCAAAAAAAACAAAACCAGCUCUAAGCAAGCAAUGGAACAGUGAUACACGGCAAACCAAAAUCCAGACUUCAGCAACCAGAAUCCAAAUGAUUCAAACCCAAACUCUUAAACCCAAAUUCGAGCCAUUUUACUCAGAUGCAAGACUUUGAUGUUUUCAGUUGUUUUAAACUAAACAAUGAGGAUUAGAAAACCAAAAAUCAAGCAGAAUUUUGAGUAGUUUUCAACUAAGAAUUGCAGGAAAAUUUAGUAAUAUUUCAGAAUUCUCAAGACUUACCUGUUUCAGCUUUUUUCAAGAUUUUUC